RNAcentral lists this ribosomal RNA (138 nucleotides) under uncultured eukaryote. RNAcentral describes it as "partial 18S ribosomal RNA". It matches the Rfam family "Eukaryotic small subunit ribosomal RNA", at positions 1299 to 1458 of the family's 1831-position model. The record is from RNAcentral.
UCGUGUGUUGACUUGUCUGGUUAAUUCCGAUAACGAACGAGACCUUAACCUGCUAAAUAGUGUGUCUGUAUGUUUUAUACUGCGCACUUCUUAGAGGGACAAAGUAUGUUUAAUACUUGGAAGUUUGAGGCAAUAACA